AACGUAGGACGCAAGCGUUAUCCGGAGUUACUGGGCGUAAAGCGCGGGCAGGCGGUCUUGCCAGUCUGAUGUGAAAUCUCCUCGCUCAACGGGGAGCAGCCAUUGGAAACUACAAGACUGGAGUCUGACAGAGGUAGGCGGAAUUCCGGGUGGAGUGGUGAAAUGCGUAGAGAUCCGGAGGAACACCAGAGGCGAAGGCGGCCUACUGGGUCAGUACUGACGCUGAGGAGCGAAAGCGUGGGGAGCAAACAGG
RNAcentral lists this ribosomal RNA (253 nucleotides) under uncultured bacterium. Its description in RNAcentral is "partial 16S ribosomal RNA". It matches the Rfam family "Bacterial small subunit ribosomal RNA", at positions 524 to 776 of the family's 1533-position model. The record is from RNAcentral.